Non-coding RNA from Lolium perenne, 3050 nucleotides. The record is from RefSeq and is a predicted model, not a curated record. Lineage: Eukaryota; Viridiplantae; Streptophyta; Magnoliopsida; Poales; Poaceae.
AUGCAAAUCAAUGUGGUGAGGACCGGCUGUUGCAGGGAUGCUCACGGAAGUGCAGUCAUAGGGCUCGGCGGACUAGCAUCACUGGUUGGUGGAGGAGAAGAAGGCAAAUGUGAGCUUGUACUUAUUUAUCUUUAUCCCAGGGCGUUCUUGGAGUUCACUAAGUUUGUGGGGGCGGCACACAUCAGCGAUCGAGGGCUGCUAGAGAUAUCAUCCAUGGCAUUGCUUCCAAUCUGACCCUCUGUCUUGCUGUGGGGAUUGGUCUGGAUCAUUUACAAGGACAUUGUUCGUCCGGUAUAUAGUCCAUCGAACUUGAUUUUUUUCCUUCAUUAUUUUACCAUAUCAAUUUGUAUGCCAUAUUCACAUAUAAUAAUGAUAUAAAAAUGCAAACUAGAUGUUGUGUUCAUCGACCUAUCUAUUGGCUAUUACUGUCAUAGUGUAGAAGAAGGAUUUGGAUACUGUAUUUUGUGGUCGGAUGUUUUCACCUAUGCUAUUAAGUUGCUUUGAGAAGAAUUUAUUGUACAUGUCAAGCAAUGUGUCAAUGGGGCGGUGCGUUGUACUUGUCACGGUGGAGUGCAUGCUACUCGACACGGAUCCUGUGGCAUUACCAUCGUAACCGUAGUGCAGUGCGUGCCGCUGAGACGGACGGGUGCAGCGGGGCAUGGUCGUCGCCACUCCAGCUCUCAUGAUCCUCUCCCUACUGAUCAAGUGUAUGGUUUCUUACACUAAAAUACUGGAUGAUAGAAGACAAGAAAAGGGUUUCUUUUGAUUGGUUGUUUGAUUCAUACAUCAUUUAGUUUUUCAUGAUCUUUGAGUCUUAAUACUUAAUAUUACAGCUCCUGCAAUUUCUCUAAGCUGCAAACCAAUAUCCAUGUAUUUUGAGCUGAUGAUGAUUGUACCUGAACAUUUUUGCUGCAUGUUUCUGGGCCAUGUAGUGAUAAGGAUGAGGUGUGUAUUUUAUUUUUCAUGGAGAAAGAUAAGAACAGAUCUGUGUUUAGUUUAACACGUAUUUUAGUUUUCAAAGAUAAGCGAGAUAUAUGUCUCUUUGAAUAAAAACUUUCUCAUUUGAGUUUUAGAGUGGAAGUUUUGUCUUGCCUGUUCACAACGUGUUGAUAAAGUAAUAGAUUUUUGCUGCUCCUCGAAUGAUUUACUUCGCAAUGCAUUGUAAUUUAGUGGCUGCAUGAUUGAUGGCUGGCCUUCUCUUUCUAAUGCCGGUACACGGUGCUGUCAGAUGCUUUGAGCCAAUGCCUUCUACUACUAUUGGUUUAUUGAGGUCCACUGCAGGAAACAAGCAGAAGGAAAGCUUGAUGGAUAUAAGGUUAUAUUGAGGAGGAUCUUACCAUAUGCAGUAAGAUGCUUGCAUAACCGUGCAACAGGUUCCUCUUUCAGUUCUUGAGGGUGAAUGGAACAAAAGUGUGCAAAUGAAUUCAGUGACUAAUAUAAGCUACAGAAGAGGUAUAAUUAAAUGUUCAGACAAAAAUCUGUUCAGUUAUGGUGGCAUGUUUAGCUUUAAGUUUCCCUAAAUUUUAACUACCAGAAAAAUAUUGUAUCGGAUGGGCUAUUGAAUUGAUGGCAAAGGUCAGAUUUUUAAAAUUUUCUAUUUAUGGUGGAAACGCAAAGUGAAUCAUAUACAAGACCAUUGCAGCUUUUUAGGGAAAAUAAUUUGUGUUAUAAAAUGCAAUUCUAGAGUUACUGGUAUAUAUAAUUUCUGAUGACUGAAAUAUAUAAUAUUUUGGUUCAGGAAGUUGAUUGGUUGCAUUGUAUAAAUAUCUUGCUGUAAAUUUUAAAAUGGUUUUUCCUGCAGGUGCUGAUUCUAUCAACUGGUUUUUGGUGUCUUGUAUAUUUAGGUCAUUAUUUAUUUGAGGUCAUCCUCCACUAUGCCCUUCUCCUCGUGCACAUGGCCUCAUAGGUCAUGAAUUAAAAUUAUUGUUUGUGGUGCAUGCCAAUAGUAUGAUCCAGAAAUUAAUUGAAUAUUAAGCUCUUGGUUCUGGCUUGUCAAUCCAUCAGUGUAUGCAACAUAAGGUAUUUCCAUUUGAUUCUGCAAUGCUUGGUCAUCAUCGGGUUAUGGAAGUUUUUGUGUGAGUGAUUCUCAUGCUCUCUACUCUUAUUUGCUCUAUGCAGUAUAGUAUAAUGUAUACUGGAAUAGGUCGUGAGAUAUGUAGUUAUUUUGUAUGUCCAUAUUUUAUCUCCAUUUUCUUUGUCAAUGAUUUACACUGUAGUUGGUAAUUUUUAGAACCAGUUUAAGGUAUUAUUUGAAGGCUUGUGCUGCUUUAUAAUCAAGUUUGACCUUACAAUAGAGUUGUUCGUUGUAAUGACACUAUCAUGCAGAUGAGUUACCUUGUACUGCUUUAUAAUCAAGUUUGACCUUACAUUAGCGUUGUUUGUUAUAAUGACACUAUCAUGCAGAUGAGUUACCUAGAUGAAUGGGUGGUGUCGAUAAAAUAUCAUUGGUCUCUUGUCCGAUGCGGGAGCUCUAAUCAAGCUAUCUAUACUUAUGUUGUUCUAUCAAGAAUUAACUGAACAAAGAAAUGCAGGCCAUGGUCUACCUUUCAGUAUGACUAAUUCUGAAAAGGAUAUCUUUGGAACGUUGUCUCUUUAGUUUUCUCCGAUAGGAUGUGAUUUCCUGGAUAUUGGUGGUCUCUAUUAUUGCCGUGUUCAAGGUCAAAUGAAGGAUUCAGAUGUGCUCAAUUAUGUACACUGAGGUUGGAGGUGUGCACCGAAGGUGUUUGAGUAAAUUCCCGAGUUCAGGAGAUCUGAGAGAGCAAUCACGAGAUGAAGCGGUGCUCAGCUGAAGAAAACCUGGUUGGUUAUGAGGCUGCUCAACAGGACAAUGGAUCUCAGCCAGAUAUAUUCAGUAUGAGACUGACAAGGCUGAAACUCUGUCAUCCAGUGACAAGGUGAUACUUCGACGGAAAAGGCCUUAUUUUCCAACAAUGAUUACCAUGGAAAACUUUAUUAAGCGAGACUCCUAUUUCGUGUGUAACUUCGUGUGAUUUAUCGUAAGAUCAUCAUAUCGAUUUCAUUUUUUGAAACCUAAUAAACAAAUUAUCAUU